This 2456-nucleotide long non-coding RNA is filed under the name Zea mays. Its description in RNAcentral is "long non-coding RNA (ZMAY_LNC001855)". The record is from RNAcentral. Lineage: Eukaryota; Viridiplantae; Streptophyta; Magnoliopsida; Poales; Poaceae.
AUCAUUAAUAUAUAACGAAGUUCUAUACAAAAUAGUUAAAUAAUUACAUCAUACGAAGACAACAAUCCAGCAACCAUAGUUGAAUGGGAGACAACGGCCAAGACCACUCACGAACUCAUCACUACAUCCUUCACGUGCCUCAUCUUGUGGUACCUGUUCUUGACCUAGGGGAUGUGAGUACAACAAGGGUGAGCUCACAUACGUUCAUCGCUCAACAAGUUGUGGGGAAUAAUGUGCAUGAACUCAAAAAAGGUGGGAACUCAUGUAAGUGUAAGGCUUACCAAAGGAGAUGGUUAAAGCUGAGCAUUGCUUUUAGUGUUCGUCAAAAUUGUAUUAGCAGUUACCUGGUAUAAGUAGAUACCAACCCAAUUAAAUAUGAGAUCACAAUUGAUAAUAACACCCACAAUGCAAUGCAAAUGACAAUUUGAGUUUAAUUCUAUAAGUUAACCAUGUGAGUGUCUGAGUCGCUCAUGCACGUGAGCAUGUCUGAUAUACCAGUUUUACACUCUGUAGAGGUUGCGCAUCUUUACCCACAAGUCGUGUUACCCAUUUGCCAUGGGGUUGAUCGGACCCCAUACACCUCUACCGAGGAAGAGAGGCAGGGUAGCACUACAAGGCCUUUCCAAAGUUCCGCUAGUUUGAGAAUACCCACUAUGAUUUUAGGACAAAGGAAGCAUAUGAAUCCCUCGUGCGAACUGCCAUCGCAGCAGUUUGACCCAAGAACCUCUCUAUACUCUGUAGCGACGCCUCCCUGAUUGCCCCUUUUGGGUAAGGUAAUCUCUUCCUAGCUUUCCUAAUUACUUGGCCAAGGGCGUCCCAUUCCACCAUUGUGGUAGCACUGUUUUCUCGAGUGGUUCACCAUGUUCCAAUUAACAUGAUGAUCUUAUCAAGAAUAACAAUUAAAACAACAACAUAAAUGGAAUAUGAUCAUAAUAAAACAAUAAUUUCCCAAAACCAGGUAGAGCAAUAGCAAAUCUACCCAAUAGUUCAUCUGUUUGCAAGGUGGGGGAUAAACAAUGCUAGUGAAACCUAUUAGGUCCCAUCAAAUUAACUUGAGCAUGUCACAGUGAUUAGCAGGAACAUUAUUAGGUAGAGAAGAAUGAUCAAGGGCACAACUUGCCUUAGACUUGAGAUCCCCAGGUACCAAAUUGGUCUUCAAGUGACUCGUAACCUCGCUACUACUUAUAGCAAUACAAACAAACAUGGUAUAGGAAAAAUUAACAUCACACCAAACAUAAGAACAUAUUGGAUAAUAAUGAUCUAUGCAUCAUAACUAGAUCUUAGGUUCGAGAACCACUAAAUUCAGAGUUACAGUUAUAAAGUUAUGAUUUUCCGAAGGUUUAAGUGGCUACUAUAAAGCAAAGGAGGUACACGAUUUUAAUCACAGGUUUCAUGGUAAUACAAGGUUACAAGUUGAUAAACAACAUUAAUGUGAAAUUAAUGCAACUAGAAUGGAUCAAAAAGAAGUUAAAAUGAGUUACUUAUGAAUUAAACAAGUUUCUGUAAUUAUUUUUAUACUAAAAACCAUUUUCUAUAUUACUUUACCUAAUUUAUUAAAUCCCUGGAUUGCACGCAUAAAUUCUGGAAAGUCUAGGGUUGAAUUCAUAAAAUCCAGGACAUAGUUGCAAUUACUUUCUAAUUGUUGUGGAUGGCGGGUUGAUUCAUACAAAUUCGGACGACUCUUUUGCAAAAGAUCAUGGCGAAGGGGUAUCGUUAAGUCCCGGCCGCUCGAUCAAGCACGAGCGGCGCGGAUUAGUUCCAAACUUCAUUGAACUGGUACACGAUCGUGAUCGUAGGAUCAAAGAUCGAUAGUCAUGAUUUGAGAUACCCAAGACCUAAUCCUACGCGUUCUCUGCAAGAUAUACGAGAUAAAUUUCUCCACCGUAACGCUAUCCUGGUAAUCUAAUCCCUGCCCUGCACCAAGGAUCCAACGGUCCUUGGCAUUCUAACCCACGACAGCUUCACACCCAGCCCACGGCGCCAACCCGAUCACGGCGCCCAUGGCCGGAGUUCACCAAUCCCCCCGCCCCCGCCCUAAACCCGAAUCCACGAACUAUUACAGAUUGCACUGGUAGAAAGAAGUUGCCCAGGGAGAUUCUCACCACGGAUUACAAGGUUUCAAGCUCCAGCAGUGACAAGAGGCGGAUUCACCGCGCAGGACCAACGCCGGCGAGAAUUGCCCGCGGUGGCUCCCCUUCUCUCCCCAUCGUGCUUCCUCUUGCCCACAACACGUCGGUUUCUGGCGAUGGUGAGAUGAGAGAAGGGAUACGACAUGGUUGGGAUUUAUAUACUGCGGUAGAGUCUGGUCAGGGGGAAACAUUUUGCGAGUGGAUCGGAAUUGCUCCGCCAAGCUCGCGCGCCAUUGAGGACGAACGAACUACAGUGGGGUCCCACGCGAUAGCAACACGGAUGCGCGAGAGAAAUUGGUCAGGCGACCGACAUCUGGGCCCCACCCG